Long non-coding RNA from Sciurus carolinensis (gray squirrel), 400 nucleotides. RefSeq lists it as uncharacterized. NCBI's taxonomy places the organism in Eukaryota, Metazoa, Chordata, Mammalia, Rodentia, Sciuridae. The transcript is spliced from 3 exons. The record is from RefSeq and is a predicted model, not a curated record.
AAAGGAACAAGGCAGAAGAAUUUUUAUCAUCCUCCUCUUUGACUGGGGACUUCCCUUUUGGAAGAAGCAAUGCACUACCUGACAACCUGCAGAAAGAAGACCAUGUAGGCAUGUCUUCAGAAAGUGGCAAAAGUGAAGAUAGGGCCCUUCCAGGUCCCUGGUCCUCUGUGAGGCCCCAGAUAGCCUUGCUUGUUCCUGCCUACCAUAUUGAUCUAUAAGACCAGUCUGACCAGGGCAUCAUGAUGCAGAAGUAGUGAGUCCUGAUUUUAGACGGGGGAGACUGAGGCCCGGUAGCUGCUGCUCCCCCAGAUACAGAGAAGCCAAACUGUGACAGCCCUGCUGGUGGCCUGCAUUCUCUUCCUGUGCUCAGGGAGUUGCCUGCUGGCUGGAAAUUACAACU